UUUAUGGAGAGUUUGAUCCUGGCUCAGGAUGAACGCUGGCGGCGUGCCUAAUACAUGCAAGUCGAGCGAACGGACGAGAAGCUUGCUUCUCUGAUGUUAGCGGCGGACGGGUGAGUAACACGUGGAUAACCUACCUAUAAGACUGGGAUAACUUCGGGAAACCGGAGCUAAUACCGGAUAAUAUUUUGAACCGCAUGGUUCAAAAGUGAAAGACGGUCUUGCUGUCACUUAUAGAUGGAUCCGCGCUGCAUUAGCUAGUUGGUAAGGUAACGGCUUACCAAGGCAACGAUGCAUAGCCGACCUGAGAGGGUGAUCGGCCACACUGGAACUGAGACACGG
Molecule: ribosomal RNA, 339 nt
Filed under: Staphylococcus aureus
Lineage: Bacteria; Bacillati; Bacillota; Bacilli; Caryophanales; Staphylococcaceae
Description: bacterial SSU rRNA
Rfam family: Bacterial small subunit ribosomal RNA
Source: RNAcentral